UGGGCUGUAUUUUGGUGGGUGAUGCAAAUGUCUACGUGCAAGGUUGUCCUGAGGUUCAGUUGGCCUAAGAGAAACCUGUGGACUUCUGUCUAAACUACAGCAGAUGAUGGAUCACAGAUACCUUGACACACACUAAAAGUAAAAAGUUUGUGCAGCAUCGUAAUCCAGUUCAUCUUCCACGGUGUGGGAAACGUCGCUGUUGUCUCCUACCACGAAGACCGUUCCAG
This is a long non-coding RNA of Branchiostoma floridae (Florida lancelet), 227 nucleotides long. RefSeq lists it as uncharacterized. The transcript is spliced from 3 exons. The record is from RefSeq and is a predicted model, not a curated record. NCBI's taxonomy places the organism in Eukaryota, Metazoa, Chordata, Leptocardii, Amphioxiformes, Branchiostomatidae.